Brassica oleracea var. oleracea is the source of this 360-nucleotide long non-coding RNA. RefSeq lists it as uncharacterized. The transcript is spliced from 3 exons. The record is from RefSeq and is a predicted model, not a curated record. NCBI's taxonomy places the organism in Eukaryota, Viridiplantae, Streptophyta, Magnoliopsida, Brassicales, Brassicaceae.
AUGAAUUAUAGAAGCUUGGUCUCUUCUGGACAUAGAAGCCUUGAAAGCCAGCACACUUCAUCUUCCAAUUAUUCGAAAGUUGUGGGUCUGUGGUUUAUAUUCAAGAUCUAAAGCAUACAAUUUGUUCAGCUGUUGAUGUCGUGCACGGUAUGGUGUCUUCCAUAUUCUCAGUGAUAUCAAGAACUCGAUCAUUAUUGUAGGUGGUGCUAAUAUGAGAGGGUGGACUAAGAAGAUGAGCGAUGAUGAGCUUGAGAUAGUGAGGAAUGCCGGUGGUGUGCUGCUUCAAAGAGAGAUCCCAGACUCAAUCAACAUUCAAGUUGUUAAAGUUCGUAUCAAGUUUUUAAAUUUAUUUGAUUCUAA